GUCGAACGAUGAAGCUCCUGCUUGCAGGGGUGGAUUAGUGGCGAACGGGUGAGUAACACGUGAGUAACCUGCCCCUGACUGCGGGAUAAGCCCGGGAAACUGGGUCUAAUACCGCAUAUGACACCUGGCCGCAUGGUCUGGGUGUGGAAAGUUUUUCGGUUGGGGAUGGGCUCGCGGCCUAUCAGCUUGUUGGUGGGGUAACGGCCUACCAAGGCGACGACGGGUAGCCGGCCUGAGAGGGCGACCGGCCACACUGGGACUGAGACACGGCCCAGACUCCUACGGGAGGCAGCAGUGGGGAAUAUUGCACAAUGGGGGAAACCCUGAUGCAGCGACGCCGCGUGAGGGAUGACGGCCUUCGGGUUGUAAACCUCUUUCAGUAGGGAAGAAGCC
RNAcentral lists this ribosomal RNA (393 nucleotides) under Brevibacterium sp. RNAcentral describes it as "bacterial SSU rRNA". It matches the Rfam family "Bacterial small subunit ribosomal RNA", at positions 61 to 452 of the family's 1533-position model. The record is from RNAcentral. Lineage: Bacteria; Bacillati; Actinomycetota; Actinomycetes; Micrococcales; Brevibacteriaceae.